Molecule: ribosomal RNA, 394 nt
Filed under: uncultured bacterium
Lineage: Bacteria
Description: partial 16S ribosomal RNA
Rfam family: Bacterial small subunit ribosomal RNA
Source: RNAcentral
AUACGGGGGAUUCAAGCGUUAUCCGGACUUAUUGGGUUUAAAGGGUGCGUAGGCUGAUAAAUCAGUCAGCUGUCAAAGACUGGGGCUCAACCCUGGUAUGCGGUUGAAACUGAUAUGCUGGAGUGCUGUAGAGGCAAGUGGAAUUCCCAGUGUAGCGGUGAAAUGCGUAGAUAUUGGGAAGAACACCGGUGGCGAAGGCGACUUGCUGGGCAGCAACUGACGCUGAGGCGCGAAAGCCAGGGGAGCAAACGGGAUUAGAUACCCCGGUAGUCCUGGCCGUAAACGAUGAAUGCUAGGUGUGUGUGUAGAGAUACAUGCGUGCCGGAGUUAACGCGAUAAGCAUUCCGCCUGGGGAGUACGGCCGCAAGGUUGAAACUUAAAGGAAUUGACGGGG